UACGGAGGGUGCAAGCGUUAUCCGGAUUCACUGGGUUUAAAGGGUGCGUAGGUGGGCAGGUAAGUCAGUGGUGAAAUCUCCGGGCUUAACUCGGAAACUGCCAUUGAUACUAUAGAUCUUGAAUUUUCUGGAGGUAAGCGGAAUAUGUCAUGUAGCGGUGAAAUGCUUAGAUAUGACAUAGAACACCAAUUGCGAAGGCAGCUUACUACGGGAACAUUGACACUGAGGCACGAAAGCGUGGGGAUCAAACAGG
This 253-nucleotide ribosomal RNA is filed under the name uncultured bacterium. RNAcentral describes it as "partial 16S ribosomal RNA". It matches the Rfam family "Bacterial small subunit ribosomal RNA", at positions 524 to 776 of the family's 1533-position model. The record is from RNAcentral.